GAUGAACGCUGGCGGCGUGCUUAACACAUGCAAGUCGAACGUGAUCCAUUAGCAAUAGUGGUGAAAGUGGCGAACGGGUGAGUAACACGUAGAUAACCUACCCUGAAGCGGGGGAUAACGAUUGGAAACGGUCGCUAAUACCGCAUGAGCCUAUUGAAGCGGGAGUGAGAUAGGGAAAAUUCAGGUGCUUUAGGCGGGGUCUGCGUCCGAUUAGCUAGUUGGUGAGGUAACGGCUCACCAAGGCGACGAUCGGUAGCUGGUCUGAGAGGACGAUCAGCCACACGGGAACUGAGACACGGUCCCGACUCCUACGGGGGGGCAGCAGUGAGGAAUAUUGGGCAAUGGGCGGAAGCCUGACCCAGCAACGCCGCGUGGAGGAUGAAGGCCUUCGGGUCGGUAAACUCCUUUGUACGGGGAAGAGGAAGGACGGUACCGUCGAUAAGUCACGGCGUAACUACGUAGCCAGCAG
Molecule: ribosomal RNA, 469 nt
Filed under: uncultured bacterium
Lineage: Bacteria
Description: bacterial SSU rRNA
Rfam family: Bacterial small subunit ribosomal RNA
Source: RNAcentral